UACAGAGGUCUCAAGCGUUGUUCGGAUUCAUUGGGAGUAAAGGGUGCGUAGGCGGCGCGGUAAGUCGGGUGUGAAAUCUCGGGGCUUAACUCCGAAACUGCAUUCGAUACUGCCGUGCUUGAGGACUGGAGAGGAGACUGGAAUUUACGGUGUAGCGGUGAAAUGCGUAGAUAUCGUAAGGAAGACCAGCGGCGACGGCGGGUCUCUGGACAGUUCCUGACGCUGAGGCACGAAGGCCAGGGGAGCAAACGGG
This 253-nucleotide ribosomal RNA is filed under the name uncultured bacterium. RNAcentral's name for it is "partial 16S ribosomal RNA". It matches the Rfam family "Bacterial small subunit ribosomal RNA", at positions 524 to 776 of the family's 1533-position model. The record is from RNAcentral.